This is a long non-coding RNA of Pecten maximus, 396 nucleotides long. RefSeq lists it as uncharacterized. Lineage: Eukaryota; Metazoa; Mollusca; Bivalvia; Pectinida; Pectinidae. The record is from RefSeq and is a predicted model, not a curated record. The transcript is spliced from 3 exons.
GUACACCUCCUACUAUCAGGGGUGAGGAGGUCGUGAUGAAGGUUACUAUCAGGGGUGAGGAGGUCGUGAUGAAGGUUACUAUCAGGGGUGAGGAGGUCGUGAUGAAGGUUACUAUCAGGGGUGAGGAGGUCAUGGUGAAGGUUACGACACUGUCAGACUAACCUGGUACACCUCCUACUAUCAGGGGUGAGGAGGUCGUGAUGAAGGUUACUAUCAGGUGUGAGGAGGUCAUGAUGAAGGUUACUAUCAGGGGUGAGGAGGUUGUGAUGAAGGUUACGACACUGUCAGACUUACCUGGUACACCUCCUACUAUCAGGGGUGAGGAGGUCGUGAUGAAGGUUACUAUCAGGGGUGAGGAGGUCGUGAUGAAGGUUACGACACUGUCAGACUUACCUG